This 274-nucleotide ribosomal RNA is filed under the name uncultured bacterium. RNAcentral describes it as "partial 16S ribosomal RNA". It matches the Rfam family "Bacterial small subunit ribosomal RNA", at positions 79 to 353 of the family's 1533-position model. The record is from RNAcentral.
CUAAGUUUGAUGGCGACCGGCGCACGGGUGAGUAACACGUAUCCAACCUGCCGAUGACUCGGGGAUAGCCUUUCGAAAGAAAGAUUAAUACCCGAUGGCAUAGUUCUUCCGCAUGGUAGAACUAUUAAAGAAUUUCGGUCAUCGAUGGGGAUGCGUUCCAUUAGGUUGUUGGCGGGGUAACGGCCCACCAAGCCUUCGAUGGAUAGGGGUUCUGAGAGGAAGGUCCCCCACAUUGGAACUGAGACACGGUCAAACUCCUACGGGAGGCAGCAUG